AACGAACGCUGGCGGCGUGCUUAACACAUGCAAGUUGAACGGAGUGCAUGGUGUAGUAAUACACCGUGAAACUUAGUGGCGGACGGGUGAGGAACACGUAGGUAACCUACCCUCGGGCGGGGGACAACCCAGGGAAACUUGGGCUAAUACCGCAUAAGCCCACGGACUGAGAUGUCAGUGGGAAAAAGUGGCAACACACCUGAGGAUGGGCCUGCGGCCUAUCAGGUAGUUGGUGGGGUAACGGCUCACCAAGCCAAAGACGGGUAGCCGGACUGAGAGGUUGAACGGCCACACUGGAACUGAGACACGGUCCAGACUCCGUACGGGAGGCAGCAGGUGGGGAAUCUUGCGCAAGUCGGGGGAAACCCUGACGCAGCGACGCCGCGUGGAGGAUGAAGGCCUUCGGGUUGUAAACUCCUUUUCUUGGGGAAAAUUGUGAUGGUACCCAAGGAAUAAGCCACGGCUAACUCUGUG
This 474-nucleotide ribosomal RNA is filed under the name uncultured bacterium. Its description in RNAcentral is "bacterial SSU rRNA". It matches the Rfam family "Bacterial small subunit ribosomal RNA", at positions 29 to 507 of the family's 1533-position model. The record is from RNAcentral.